UUUGAAAUGCAGACCAUCGAAUUCCAUUUUAGCGAACUCUGAUUCUGGCAUUCUUACAAAACAACGGCUUCUUGCCGUUUUGAAUCGGUUCAAAUAUUCUUCAACCCAUUCUCCCAUUCUCUAUCUAAACUGAGCCAGAUCAGCAACCGAAAGUGCUGGUCUGAUCUAUAAAACUGCUCAUAAAAUUUUUUUUCCAAUUCGUCCCAAUCUC
RNAcentral lists this long non-coding RNA (211 nucleotides) under Ananas comosus (pineapple). RNAcentral describes it as "long non-coding RNA (ACOM_LNC002129)". Lineage: Eukaryota; Viridiplantae; Streptophyta; Magnoliopsida; Poales; Bromeliaceae. The record is from RNAcentral.